Molecule: ribosomal RNA, 509 nt
Filed under: Clostridioides difficile
Lineage: Bacteria; Bacillati; Bacillota; Clostridia; Peptostreptococcales; Peptostreptococcaceae
Description: bacterial SSU rRNA
Rfam family: Bacterial small subunit ribosomal RNA
Source: RNAcentral
GUGAGCCAGUACAGGAUGGACCCGCGUCUGAUUAGCUAGUUGGUAAGGUAACGGCUUACCAAGGCGACGAUCAGUAGCCGACCUGAGAGGGUGAUCGGCCACAUUGGAACUGAGACACGGUCCAAACUCCUACGGGAGGCAGCAGUGGGGAAUAUUGCACAAUGGGCGAAAGCCUGAUGCAGCAACGCCGCGUGAGUGAUGAAGGCCUUCGGGUCGUAAAACUCUGUCCUCAAGGAAGAUAAUGACGGUACUUGAGGAGGAAGCCCCGGCUAACUACGUGCCCGCAGCCGCGGUAAUACGUCGGGGGCUAGCGUUAUCCGGAUUUACUGGGCGUAAAGGGUGCGUAGGCGGUCUUUCAAGUCAGGAGUGAAAGGCUACGGCUCAACCGUAGUAAGCUCUUGAAACUGGGAGACUUGAGUGCAGGAGAGGAGAGUGGAAUUCCUAGUGUAGCGGUGAAAUGCGUAGAUAUUAGGAGGAACACCAGUUGCGAAGGCGGCUCUCUGGACUGU